RNAcentral lists this microRNA precursor (203 nucleotides) under Oryza rufipogon (brownbeard rice). Its description in RNAcentral is "MIR812 microRNA precursor family". It matches the Rfam family "MIR812 microRNA precursor family". Lineage: Eukaryota; Viridiplantae; Streptophyta; Magnoliopsida; Poales; Poaceae. The record is from Rfam by way of RNAcentral.
AAAAAGACAAACCCUGGUUUCCGUGUCCAACGUUUGACCGUCCUUCUUAUUUAAAAAAAUUAUGAAAAAAUUAAAAAGAUAAAUCACGCAUAAAGUAUUAAUCAUGUUUUAUCAUCUAACAACAAUGGAAAUACUAAUUAUAAAAAAAAUCAUAUAAGACGGACAGUCAAACGUUGGCACGGAAACCCAGGAUUUGCCUUUUU